Danio rerio (zebrafish) is the source of this 1874-nucleotide non-coding RNA. The record is from RefSeq and is a predicted model, not a curated record. Lineage: Eukaryota; Metazoa; Chordata; Actinopteri; Cypriniformes; Danionidae.
GGAAGUGACGCUGUUGUAGGAAGUGUUCAGUGGAGCGCGCGGGAGUUUAUUGUUGCUAUCUAGGGAGCUAGUGUUUAUUAGCGUCCCAAUAUUAUCCAAAUAACACUAAAAACAGCAGAGGAGUUUGUUGAGAAUGGCUCAGCUAAAUGAAGUGGACUUACCGCCGAACCUGUCAUGUCUCAAACCUAUGGAUACUCUCCUCCGAUGUCCCAUCUGCUUUGAGUUUCUCAACAUCUCCAUGAUGACCCAGUGUUCACACAACUUUUGUUCUCUGUGCAUUCGGAAGUUUCUCUCCUAUAAGCUGUUGUGUCCUGUGUGUAACUCGCCAUCAACAGAACAAGACCUCAGGAACAACAGAUUAUUAGACGACUUAGUUCAGAGCUUCCAGACGGCAAGGCUAAAAUUGUGUCACUCAAAUUUGGAAUCGCCCCCCAUUUCACCUGAAACCCCGACUAUGGUGAUCAAAGGCAAAGCAGCGAGACAGAAGGGCCUUAAAAAAGAAUCGAGCAACCUCAGUCAUUUUUUUCAGAAGAAGACCUCUGUGACUCUCCCGUCAGAGACUCUUCACGCCUCAGUCAAAUCCGAACCUAUGGAGGUGUGUGUUCAGCAACCUGGCAUCUUCAAGCAAGAGAGUCUGGAGGAUGCGAGAAACAGAGUGAAAGAGGAGAAGAUGGAUGUCACUGCUUUUCCUUCCACAUCACAAAGCUGUAAGCCGGCGGUUAAAGUGGAAUGUCCUGUCUGUGGAGUAGGUGUACCCGAACAGCACAUUAAUAAACAUCUGGAUAUGUGCUUGAACAGAGACGAUAAGAAGGAAGGAUUGAGAAGCAGUGGAAGACGAAAGGCAAUGCCCAAGCUGUUGUACACUUUGAUAACUGUGCCAAAGCUCAAGAAGAUGCUUAAAGAAUGCCAUCUUUCUGCUCAAGGCAACAGAGAGCAACUCACGAGACGCCAUCAAGAAUUCACGCACAUCUAUAAUGCCCAGUGUGAUGCACUCAACCCUAAAUCAGCUGAAGAAAUCGCCAAAGAAGUUGAAGCCAAUGAGCGACUAAAGAAUCAGCUGGACAGUAAACGGAAACCUGUAAUCAUCACUACAAAGAACCAGACAGCCGAAGAAAUUGAGGAGGUGCACUCGAUGUAUCGUAAGCAGCACAGUAGUGAGUUUUCCCGUCUAAUUGCCCAGGUCAAAGGUCGUCUGGAGACUAAGAAAGCACAGGUGAAACAAGAAGAGGGAAAUUCAACAGAGGAGACAGACUCUAAAGGUGUAAACUACAGCAUUCAGAACAGUUCCCUUCCCAUUUCCACAUCACUGAAGGUGAAGAGUGAAGACACUGUAAUUGAGCUUCCACCAAGAUCAUCAAGCCCUGCCAUCAGUGAAGUGUCAGUCAGCAGCUCCAUCUCUGAUAUCUUCUGUUGAAGACAAGACAGCAGCUACUCAAAUUUAAAGGAUUUUAUGAAGUGAGGGGAAAAAUAAAUGUCUGAAUACAUUUCAAGGUAACACUAUAAAAACUACACAUUAUGAACAAUUUAUUAAGCAUUUUUCAUUCUCUUUUUUGUUAGAUUUAAAGGAUUUUAUGAAGUGAGGGGAAAAAUAAAUGUCUGAAUACAUUUCAAGACGUGUUGAGCGAGUUCUUCUUCCCAGACGUCCAGAGCAGUGUUACACAGGGAGGUCUACUCUAUCAGGGAAGAUGUUUGAAGACCCUGCGAGAGACGACGUCCUCCGUUUAUUAUGUAACAAAAGUAUCAGGUUCAUGUUUUCAGUUUCCUGAGCCGAGCGUGUGGUUUAAAUGUCUGGAUUCUAUUGACAGCAUGUUAUGUACGAUAGUGUUUUUAUAUAAUUUCAUCAUAAUUUUCUCCAAUAAAAGAGAGAAAAAACA